CCCCUGGUGAUCUAGUGGCUAAGAUUCCUCAUUCCCAAGGCAGGGGGUUCAGGUUCCAUUCCUGAUCAGGGAA
RNAcentral lists this transfer RNA (73 nucleotides) under Bos taurus (domestic cattle). It matches the Rfam family "tRNA". From Rfam's summary of the family: Transfer RNA (tRNA) molecules are approximately 80 nucleotides in length. Their secondary structure includes four short double-helical elements and three loops (D, anti-codon, and T loops). Further hydrogen bonds mediate the characteristic L-shaped molecular structure. tRNAs have two regions of fundamental functional importance: the anti-codon, which is responsible for specific mRNA codon recognition, and the 3' end, to which the tRNAs corresponding amino acid is attached (by aminoacyl-tRNA synthetases). tRNAs cope with the degeneracy of the genetic code in two manners: having more than one tRNA (with a specific anti-codon) for a particular amino acid; and 'wobble' base-pairing, i.e. permitting non-standard base-pairing at the 3rd anti-codon position. The record is from Rfam by way of RNAcentral. RNAcentral also lists the same sequence under 4 other names. Lineage: Eukaryota; Metazoa; Chordata; Mammalia; Artiodactyla; Bovidae.